Long non-coding RNA from Monomorium pharaonis (pharaoh ant), 461 nucleotides. RefSeq lists it as uncharacterized. Lineage: Eukaryota; Metazoa; Arthropoda; Insecta; Hymenoptera; Formicidae. The record is from RefSeq and is a predicted model, not a curated record. The transcript is spliced from 3 exons.
CAAAUACUGCUGAUAGUAAAAAAAUUAUCAAAGUUAAACAUAAAUAAAUAAACAUAAAUUAAUAAUAAAUAAAUAUUACUUAUUACGUAUUUAAAAUGUACAUGUAAUCAUCAGUAUCGACAGAUUUGAGGAUUUGACAGCGAGCUGCAGGUGUGGAGAGGAAGAACCAAAGGCAAGGAUCAUAUAUGAGCGCUCACUGACAAUCAGAUGCUCUCACCAAAGAGAAACGCGACGAAUAUUAUGAUGGGGAUCACACAGGCUAAAUCAAUCAGAUAACCGAACACCAGAUUGCCGAUCAAACCACCUAGACGACCCAUCAUCUGUGAUAGAGCUGCGGCCAUUACCCUAAAUGGUGUAGAGCAAAACGUUCUUGAGAAAUUCAAAUUGUAAUUCGCUCACCUGAGAUUCGUCGGAAACAUGUCGACGAUCACGCAGUAGGCUAGAGAGAUUCCGAUGGACGU